Molecule: long non-coding RNA, 1075 nt
Organism: Microcebus murinus (gray mouse lemur)
Lineage: Eukaryota; Metazoa; Chordata; Mammalia; Primates; Cheirogaleidae
Source: RefSeq, a predicted model, not a curated record
CCAAGACUGUCCCUUAUGGUGCGGGGGUGGGGGUGGGGCGCACUGGGGACUGGCCCUCUUCUGGGUUCACGGAUGCACCUCGGAGGAUCCCAGGCGGUUGGUCUCGGGGUGGUCUGCCGACCCGAGACCGGGUGCGAAGGUUCCCUUCUCGCCGGUUUCCCACUCAAUUUCUGUUCCUCCCAGAGCUAACGCCAGGGGGUGAGCCGCCUGCGCCGGGGGAGAGCACCUCCCCGCGGCCCGGCCGGGGUGGGCGCGCUGGGGCGCCAGGUGCGCGGGCUCCUUGCACCACUCUCGGCUCUGGACCGCGCCAGCCAGAGGCCCCGGCCCAACCCAGGUCCCUGCGGGCGACAGGGCGGGGUCCCUGCAGCUCGUGCUGGGCGCCACGGCUGGGCGUGCCCCUCUGCCCGGGUGCAGGACGGCCUCGAGGCCGCGCACCUCCACAGGGCGGGCGAGCCCUGGCCUCCCCCUCCCUGGCACGGAGCUGCUGCCCUGAGCAAUCUGCUGCUAGAGACGCCAUUUCGGUCCCCACCCUUGUCUCGGCCGAGGAAGAGCCAAUCACGACGCUCGUGUGUAGCUGUGCCAGCCGCAGGGAAGGGAUUCAAGAGUGACUGUGUGACCCAUCAAGUCCCUCAGCUCAAAGAACCUGCAAUCCUGUGAUUCUAGGAUAUAAGAAGACAGCUGUCUGCAAACCGGGAGGAGAGCCCUCACCAGACACUGGAUCUGCUGGUGCCUUGACUUCCCAGCCUCCAGAACCGUGAGAAACAAAUGUUUGUAGUGUAAGCCCCCCAGUGGAUGGCACUCUGUUACAGCAGCCUGAACUAAGACAGUUGGUGCCAGCAAAACCCUGAGACGUACAGUGUAUGACAUUUCAGGGAGCUGGGAAUAGUCCAAUAAAGCUGAAAUUUAGUGGGGGACAGGGGAGAGAGAGAGAGUGAGGGUAGAAGUCUCAGAGACACAGGAGGACCUAAGAUGGGUAAGGAGGACACAAUUGAUUCUCUUCUGUUUUUUAAAUAUUUUUUUUGUCAUUAAUUAAAGUGAUAGGUGUUCAUUUUAAGAAGUUUGGAAAACCCAGAAU